UAAUAAAGUUAUUGUAGUAAAACUAUUUUAAAUAAUUAUUUUGUAAUGAAAUGUUAUUCGUUUUUAAAUAUAUCUAGUUUUUUUAGAAAAAAAUUUAAUUUUAAAUUUAGUAUUUAAUAAAUUUAAUUAUAAUUUAAUUUUAUUAAUAUUAAAUUUUAUAUUUUAAGGGAUAAGCUUUAAAUUAAAUUUUUAUAAUAAAUUUAUAAUUUUUGAAAAUUUUAUGAUUUAUAUUGUUAAUAAAUUUUAUUUUAUUAUAAAUAAUUUCAUUAAAAAUAAAAUUUAAUUUUAUUUAAUUUUAUAUAAAAAAAUAAUUUUUAUUGGUAAAAAAUUAGUAAUAAUGAUAAAAUUAGUAUAUUAAAAAUUAAUUUAAUUUAUUUUUUUUUUAUAAUUAAUUAAUUAAUAAAAAGUAAUUCGGCAAAUAUUUAUAUUCACUUGUUUAACAAAAACAUGUCUUUUUGAAUUUAAUUUAAAGUCUAAUCUGCCCACUGAUAAAUUAUUAAAGGGCUGCAGUAUUUUGACUGUACAAAGGUAGCAUAAUCAUUAGUCUCUUAAUUGGUGACUUGUAUGAAAGAUUGAAUGAAAUAUAUACUGUCUCUAUAUUAAUUUAUAGAAUUUAAUUUUUUAUUUAAAAAGUUAAAAUAAUUUAAAAAGACGAGAAGACCCUAUAGAGUUUUAUAAUUAGAUUUAAUAAUUAAUUAUUUAUAUUAAUUUAAUAAAUUUUUUUUUAAAAAAAUUAUUUUGUUGGGGUGAUAGAAAAAUUUAAUAAACUUUUUUUAAAAAAUAAACAUGAAUAAAUGGUUAAUUGAUCCAAUAUUAUUGAUUAUAAGAUUAAAUUACCUUAGGGAUAACAGCGUAAUUUUUUUUUUUAGUUCAAAUAAGAAAAAAAGUUUGCGACCUCGAUGUUGGAUUAAGAUAAAAUUUAAAUGC
RNAcentral lists this ribosomal RNA (927 nucleotides) under Rhynchobapta cervinaria. RNAcentral's name for it is "partial 16S rRNA". Lineage: Eukaryota; Metazoa; Arthropoda; Insecta; Lepidoptera; Geometridae. The record is from RNAcentral.